UGCCAGCAGCCGCGGUAAUACGGAGGAUGCAGGCGUUAUCCGGAUUUAUUAGGUUUAAAGGGUGUCUAGGCUGCCACAUAAGUCAGAGGUGAAAGUCGGUUGCUCAACAAUCGAAUUGCCUUUGAAACUGUGUGGCUCGAAUAUAGAUGAGGUAGGCGGAAUGUGUAGUGUAGCGGUGAAAUGCAUAGAUAUUACACGGAACACCAAUUGCGAAGGCAGCUCACUACGCCAUUAUUGACGCUGAGUCACGAAAGCGUGGGUAGCGAACAGGAUUAGAUA
RNAcentral lists this ribosomal RNA (279 nucleotides) under uncultured bacterium. Its description in RNAcentral is "partial 16S ribosomal RNA". It matches the Rfam family "Bacterial small subunit ribosomal RNA", at positions 506 to 784 of the family's 1533-position model. The record is from RNAcentral.